This 77-nucleotide transfer RNA is filed under the name Candidatus Peribacteria bacterium RIFCSPHIGHO2_02_FULL_53_20. RNAcentral describes it as "tRNA-Asp". It matches the Rfam family "tRNA". From Rfam's summary of the family: Transfer RNA (tRNA) molecules are approximately 80 nucleotides in length. RNAcentral also lists the same sequence under 1 other name. Lineage: Bacteria; Candidatus Peregrinibacteriota; Candidatus Peribacteria. The record is from RNAcentral.
GGGACCGUAGCUCAGCUGGUUAGAGCGCUUCCCUGUCACGGAAGAGGUCGCGGGUUCGAACCCCGUCGGUCCCGCCA